AUCCGGCUGACCAGUCCAAAAUAGGACGAAACGCACGUCCUGGAG
RNAcentral lists this non-coding RNA (45 nucleotides) under Schistosoma mansoni. Lineage: Eukaryota; Metazoa; Platyhelminthes; Trematoda; Strigeidida; Schistosomatidae. The record is from RNAcentral.